RNAcentral lists this ribosomal RNA (496 nucleotides) under uncultured bacterium. Its description in RNAcentral is "partial 16S ribosomal RNA". It matches the Rfam family "Bacterial small subunit ribosomal RNA", at positions 29 to 507 of the family's 1533-position model. The record is from RNAcentral.
AUGCACGCUGGCGGCGUGCCUCAUACAUGCCAGUCGAGCGAACAGACGAGGAGCUUGCUCCUCUGACGUUAGCGGCGGACGGGUGAGUAACACGUGGAUAACCUUCCUAUAAGACUGGGAUAACUUCGGGAAACCGGAGCUAAUACCGGAUAAUAUAUUGAACCGCAUGGUUCAAUAGUGAAAGACGGUUUUGCUGUCACUUAUAGAUGGAUCCGCGCCGCAUUAGCUAGUUGGUAAGGUAACGGCUUACCAAGGCAACGAUGCGUAGCCGACCUGAGAGGGUGAUCGGCCACACUGGAACUGAGACACGGUCCAGACUCCUACGGGAGGCAGCAGUAGGGAAUCUUCCGCAAUGGGCGAAAGCCUGACGGAGCAACGCCGCGUGAGUGAUGAAGGUCUUCGGAUCGUAAAACUCUGUUAUUAGGGAAGAACAAAUGUGUAAGUAACUAUGCACGUCUUGACGGUACCUAAUCAGAAAGCCACGGCUAACUACGUG